AGAGUUGAUCCUGGCUCAGGAUGAACGCUAGCUACAGGCUUAACACAUGCAAGUCGAGGGGCAGCAUGGGAGUUGCUUGCAAUCCUGAUGGCGACCGGCGCACGGGUGAGUAACGCGUAUCCAACCUUCCCCUUAGUAGGGCAUAGCCCGGUGAAAAUCGGAUUAAUACCCUAUGUUCUUCACAGCAGACAUCUAACGUGAAGCAAAGGUUCACCGCUAAGGGAUGGGGAUGCGUCUGAUUAGGUAGUAGGCGGGGUAACGGCCCACCUAGCCUUCGAUCAGUAGGGGUUCUGAGAGGAAGGUCCCCCACAUUGGAACUGAGACACGGUCCAAACUCCUACGGGAGGCAGCAGUGAGGAAUAUUGGUCAAUGGGCGAGAGCCUGAACCAGCCAAGUAGCGUGCAAGGAUGACGGCCCUAUGGGUUGUAAACUGCUUUUAUAUGGGGAUAAAGUUCACCACGUGUGGUGUUUUGCAGGUACCAUAUGAAUAAGGACCGGCUAAUUCCGUGCCAGCCGCAGC
This 520-nucleotide ribosomal RNA is filed under the name uncultured bacterium. RNAcentral describes it as "bacterial SSU rRNA". It matches the Rfam family "Bacterial small subunit ribosomal RNA", at positions 8 to 518 of the family's 1533-position model. The record is from RNAcentral.